AGACAAAAACUAAAUCACAUUUUUAAAUUGCUGCCGAUUAGGUUUAACCUCAUAGCGAAAAAACCCAAAGCAAACGUCUUAAGAACGACCUGAAGGCCUUUGAGAGGAGAUUGACAGAGUAUGUCUCCUGUUUGCAACCUGCAACAGGCAGGUGGAGAAUGAUUUUGAUAGUAGUGUCGGU
Long non-coding RNA from Notothenia coriiceps (black rockcod), 181 nucleotides. RefSeq lists it as uncharacterized. Lineage: Eukaryota; Metazoa; Chordata; Actinopteri; Perciformes; Nototheniidae. The record is from RefSeq and is a predicted model, not a curated record. The transcript is spliced from 3 exons.